UAAGGCUGAGACACGACGUCGAGCACCUACGGGUGUGAAGUCAUUGAUGCCAUGCUUCCAGGAAAAGCCUCUAAGCUUCAGAUUGUAAGGAAUCGUACCCCAAACCGACACAGGUGGUCGGGUAGAGAAUACCAAGGCGCUUGAGAGAACUCGGGUGAAGGAACUAGGCAAAAUGGUACCGUAACUUCGGGAGAAGGUACGCUCUCGACGGUGAAGUCCCUUGCGGAUGGAGCUAUUGAGAGUCGCAGAUACCAGGUGGCUGCAACUGUUUAUUAAAAACACAGCACUGUGCAAAAUCGUAAGAUGACGUAUACGGUGUGACGCCUGCCCGGUGCCGGAAGGUUAAUUGAUGGGGUUAGACUUCGGUCGAAGCUCUUGAUCGAAGCCCCGGUAAACGGCGGCCGUAACUAUAACGGUCCUAAGGUAGCGAAAUUCCUUGUCGGGUAAGUUCCGACCUGCACGAAUGGCGUAAUGAUGGCCACGCUGUCUCCACCCGAGACUCAGUGAAAUUGAAAUCGCUGUGAAGAUGCAGUGUACCCGCGGCUAGACGGAAAGACCCCGUGAACCUUUACUACAGCUUGGCACUGAACAUUGACCCUACAUGUGUAGGAUAGGUGGGAGGCUUUGAAGCACGUACGCCAGUAUGUGUGGAGCCGUCCUUGAAAUACCACCCUUGUAGUGUUGAUGUUCUAACGUCGACCCCUUAUCGGGGUUGCGGACAGUGCCUGGUGGGUAGUUUGACUGGGGCGGUCUCCUCCCAAAGAGUAACGGAGGAGCACGAAGGUGGGCUAAUCACGGUUGGACAUCGUGAGGUUAGUGCAAUGGCAUAAGCCCGCUUGACUGCGAGAAUGACAAUUCGAGCAGGUGCGAAAGCAGGUCAUAGUGAUCCGGUGGUUCUGAAUGGAAGGGCCAUCGCUCAACGGAUAAAAGGUACUCCGGGGAUAACAGGCUGAUACCGCCCAAGAGUUCAUAUCGACGGCGGUGUUUGGCACCUCGAUGUCGGCUCAUCACAUCCUGGGGCUGAAGUCGGUCCCAAGGGUAUGGCUGUUCGCCAUUUAAAGUGGUACGCGAGCUGGGUUUAGAACGUCGUGAGACAGUUCGGUCCCUAUCUGCCGUGGGCGUUGGAAGAUUGAAGGGGGCUGCUCCUAGUACGAGAGGACCGGAGUGGACGAACCUCUGGUGUUCGGGUUGUGUCGCCAGACGCAUUGCCCGGUAGCUAAGUUCGGAAUCGAUAACCGCUGAAAGCAUCUAAGCGGGAAGCGAGCCCUGAGAUGAGUCUUCCCUGAUACUUUAAGUAUCCUAAAGGGUUGUCGGAGACUACGACGUUGAUAGGUCAGGUGUGUAAGUGCUGUGAGGCAUUGAGCUAACUGAUACUAAUUGCCCGUGAGGCUUAACCAUACAACACCCAAGGGGUUU
This 1416-nucleotide ribosomal RNA is filed under the name Vibrio parahaemolyticus. RNAcentral describes it as "bacterial LSU rRNA". It matches the Rfam family "Bacterial large subunit ribosomal RNA", at positions 1551 to 2925 of the family's 2925-position model. Lineage: Bacteria; Pseudomonadati; Pseudomonadota; Gammaproteobacteria; Vibrionales; Vibrionaceae. The record is from RNAcentral.